This is a long non-coding RNA of Balaenoptera musculus (blue whale), 907 nucleotides long. RefSeq lists it as uncharacterized. The record is from RefSeq and is a predicted model, not a curated record. NCBI's taxonomy places the organism in Eukaryota, Metazoa, Chordata, Mammalia, Artiodactyla, Balaenopteridae. The transcript is spliced from 3 exons.
CCAGGUGCUUCCUACAAAGGAACAAAGUGUGCCCUGAGCCCCAGAUUGGCAAACCCUGUGCUUUCCUUCAUCUCCCAUGAACUCAAGGGUUUUCCAGGUGCAGCCAGCAUUGCAGCAUCCCACGGACGUCGAGUCUCUGAUAAGACUGACGUCAGGCCCAAUCCAUGGAGGCUGGGAAGAGGCGGCAGGCACUUGCUAACGGCAGUUGUUCCAGGCUCUUCCGUGUUUUUGCUGGCCAAGAAGUAAAGUACUUGGAGCACAACGAUGCAGGCAGCCCGGUCAGCCAACAACAGAGCUCCUGCUUCACGAAGGGCUUAUUUUUCCUCCAGAGGAUGGACUUCCACAUGGAGAAAUCUUGGCUGUCCUACCAUCAGCUCUGCCUUGCACUGUGAAUAUCAGCUUUCCUCAGAUCAAGAGGAAGCAGACAUUAAAGUACUCCCAGAUCAAACCUGCGCCCUCUGAGCUGCACUAUUACAACUGGAAGACCCGUCCUUGAGGAAAUUCCACAAAAGGCCUCCCCAACUCGCAGGAUGAUUGCCAAGACGUAAGAGUUCAAGAUGGGACUCAUAAAUAGUUACAAUUAAGUGCAAAACAAUUUCAUUCCUCUUAUAAAAAUCCAAGCCCUUUAAUCAGCAGGGAGCAGGUAGGACAGUCUUGCCCUCACUCCCUCAAGACUGAGGAGAUGUACAAAGAAAAAGGAAAUUGAAACAGCAUGUAAAACAUUGACCAACAUAAACUGGUUUGCCUCAAAUAGGUUGUUGAUUCAUCAAACCUUGAGUUAUUUUAAAGACGGCACCGCACAUGUGCUAGACAGGAAUCCAUGUCUCCAGGAUGACCCCAGAACAAAGAAUCUUCAGUCUACGAACUUAAAGAAUAGAAAUGUUGCCACGAGAGAGCCCUUUACAAA